RNAcentral lists this long non-coding RNA (186 nucleotides) under Phascolarctos cinereus (koala). Its description in RNAcentral is "lncRNA (ENSPCIG00000010195.2)". The record is from RNAcentral. Lineage: Eukaryota; Metazoa; Chordata; Mammalia; Diprotodontia; Phascolarctidae.
UGCCAACUUUUUUGGUAUCUGAUGGAUAAUUUAUAUGUUUUUGAUUUGUGUUUUUUGCAGAGGCAGUUAAGUCUAGUAGAAUAUUGGACUGGGAAUACUAGACUGCCCCACUGCCAUUCACUCCAUUUAUCUGUAUCUCUUUCUGAGCUGAUACUGAGAAAUGAUUUGGAAGGAGCCCGGGACUGA